AGGCAACAGUAGUAUACCGCUGUUCAAACUCAUAAAUCCAUGGACAAAAAACAAAAUCGGGGUAACAAACUAAAACUGAGGGAAACGCACCAAACAUAAGAGGAGAACAACGACACAACACUACAAUGUAACACACACAGAAACGGACCAAUCAUCAGACAAAAUCCCACGAGAAUAACAAAUAUAACAUCAAAACCAAAUACAUGAAUUUGGGAUAGACAAGUACCGUGACACGUCUUAUCGCAAUGUGAAUUUACACUCAAAAAUAAGAGAAAACAAACGACGCAACGUUAAAAUGUAACACACAGAGAAACGAACUAUAAUAUAACAAUGGCCAUAUUCCUGACUUGGUACAGGACAUUUUUAAAGGAAAAAAUGGUGGGUUGAACCUGGUUUUGUGGCAUGCCAAACCUCGCACUUUAAUGGCAAUGUUAAAUAUAACAUUGAAAUGACAACAUAAUAUUACAGGACUACAAUACAAAUAAAUAGGAGAAC
Molecule: long non-coding RNA, 495 nt
Filed under: Mytilus galloprovincialis (Mediterranean mussel)
Lineage: Eukaryota; Metazoa; Mollusca; Bivalvia; Mytilida; Mytilidae
Source: RNAcentral